GAUGAACGCUAGCGGGAGGCCUAACACAUGCAAGCCGAGCGGUAGAGUUCCUUCGGGAACUUGAGAGCGGCGUACGGGUGCGUAACACGUGUGCAACCUACCUUUAUCUGGGGGAUAGCCUUUCGAAAGGAAGAUUAAUACCCCAUAAUAUAAUGAUUGGCAUCAAUUAUUAUUGAAAACUCCGGUGGAUAGAGAUGGGCACGCGCAAGAUUAGAUAGUUGGUGAGGUAACGGCUCACCAAGUCAAUGAUCUUUAGGGGUCCUGAGAGGGAGAUCCCCCACACUGGUACUGAGACACGGACCAGACUCCUACGGGAGGCAGCAGUGAGGAAUAUUGGACAAUGGGUGAAAGCCUGCUCCAGCCAUCCCGCGUGAAGGAUGACGGUCCUAUGGAUUGUAAACUUCUUUUGUACAGGGAUAAACCUACUCUCGUGAGGGUAGCUGAAGGUACUGUACGAAUAAGCACCGGCUAACUCCGUG
RNAcentral lists this ribosomal RNA (479 nucleotides) under uncultured bacterium. RNAcentral's name for it is "partial 16S ribosomal RNA". It matches the Rfam family "Bacterial small subunit ribosomal RNA", at positions 28 to 507 of the family's 1533-position model. The record is from RNAcentral.